Molecule: ribosomal RNA, 253 nt
Filed under: uncultured bacterium
Lineage: Bacteria
Description: partial 16S ribosomal RNA
Rfam family: Bacterial small subunit ribosomal RNA
Source: RNAcentral
UACGUAGGGGGCAAGCGUUGUCCGGAUUUAUUGGGCGUAAAGAGCGUGUAGGCGGCCACACAGGUCAGCUGUGAAAACUCGAGGCUCAACCUCGAGACGUCGGUUGAAACCGUCUGGCUAGAGUCCGGAAGAGGAGAGUGGAAUUCCCGGUGUAGCGGUGAAAUGCGCAGAUAUCGGGAAGAACACCCGUGGCGAAGGCGGCUCUCUGGGACGGUACUGACGCUGAGACGCGAAAGCGUGGGGAGCGAACAGG